Molecule: unclassified non-coding RNA, 320 nt
Filed under: Hevea brasiliensis (rubber tree)
Lineage: Eukaryota; Viridiplantae; Streptophyta; Magnoliopsida; Malpighiales; Euphorbiaceae
Source: RNAcentral
GGGUUACCCAGCUGAGGAUUUUGUGCCGCGGCUGCCGGGGCAGCCGGAUGUAGGGUUCCGGCAGUAUGCUGGCUAUGUCACGGUUGAUGAGAAGGCUGGGAGGAGCUUGUUUUAUUACUUCACUGAGGCUGAUGGAGACGCCGACAAGAAGCCUCUUACCCUCUGGCUCAACGGAGGCCCUGGUUGCUCUUCAGUUGGAGGCGGGGCAUUCACUGAAUUGGGUCCGUUUUAUCCCAGAGGCGAUGCUCGUGGCCUUCGAUUAAACAAGAAGUCAUGGAACAAAGUAUCAAAUCUCCUUUUCGUUGAAUCCCCUGCUGGAG